CUGCUGCCUCCCGUAGGAGUCUGGUCCGUGUCUCAGUACCAGUGUGGGGGACCUUCCUCUCAGAGCCCCUAGACAUCGUCGCCUUGGUGGGCCGUUACCCCGCCAACAAGCUAAUGUCACGCAUGCCCAUCCGUCUCCGGAGUUGCCUCCUUUGGCCGAAAGAAGAUGCCUCCCCUCGGCCACAUGCGGUAUUAGGCCGGAUUUCUCCGGGUUAUCCCGCUGAAACGGGCAGGUUGCAUACGCGUUACUCACCCGUGCGCCGGUCG
This 266-nucleotide ribosomal RNA is filed under the name uncultured bacterium. RNAcentral describes it as "partial 16S ribosomal RNA". The record is from RNAcentral.